RNAcentral lists this ribosomal RNA (446 nucleotides) under uncultured bacterium. RNAcentral describes it as "bacterial SSU rRNA". It matches the Rfam family "Bacterial small subunit ribosomal RNA", at positions 329 to 792 of the family's 1533-position model. The record is from RNAcentral.
UUCCAGACUCCUACGGGAGGCAGCAGUGGGGAAUAUUGCACAAUGGGGGGAACCCUGAUGCAGCAACGCCGCGUGAGUGAAGAAGUACCUCGGUAUGUAAAGCUCUAUCAGCAGGGAAGAAAAUGACGGUACCUGACCAAGAAGCACCGGCUAAAUACGUGCCAGCAGCCGCGGUAAUACGUAUGGUGCAAGCGUUAUCCGGAUUUACUGGGUGUAAAGGGAGCGCAGGCGGCGCGGCAAGUCAGAUGUGAAAGCCCGGGGCUCAACCCCGGAACUGCUUUGGAAACUGUGCAGCUAGAGUGCAGGAGAGGUAAGUGGAAUUCCCAGUGUAGCGGUGAAAUGCGUAGAUAUUAGGAGGAACACCAGUGGCGAAGGCGGCUUACUGGACUGUAACUGACGUUGAGGCUCGAAAGCGUGGGGAGCAAACAGGAUUAGAUACCCUGGUA